This 1065-nucleotide ribosomal RNA is filed under the name Triticum aestivum (bread wheat). Its description in RNAcentral is "partial small subunit ribosomal RNA". Lineage: Eukaryota; Viridiplantae; Streptophyta; Magnoliopsida; Poales; Poaceae. The record is from RNAcentral.
AUGGAGUUUGCUGUAUCCGCAUUUGGCGUGGUAGCUAGCAUCGCCAUGUCCAAGCUCUGUACUGUGAUACGAAAAUUAUAUGGGAAGGCGAAGCUUGAUGCUACGUUCUUAAAAGAUGAGCUCGAGGCAAUCCGAGCUGCUAUCAUUCAACUUUGUUUCAGAGGUGGACCUGUUAGAUGUUUGCAGAUAGUAUGGAUAUCACAACUAAGGCGAUUGGCAUAUGACAUCGAAGACAGCAUAGACUGCUUCCAUGCCAACAAGCUGAGCCCCGAAGAAUUCGCCAUAAAGCUUGGUGAACUCAAGGAAAGGUCAUUGGAUACGACCGACCGGAUAAAAAGGUAUGGAUUCGCUGACCAAGGGUCUGCAGAAGGGUCUUCCGUUGUCACCAAUUAUCCUCCGGAUUUUCUUCUUGGCGACAAGAGUUGCCAUGACUGCUUGGUAUAUUUGUACUUGUUUCCUCCUAAUCAUCAUGUCAGGACUAAACCUCUAAUAAGGAGAUGGCUGGCUGAAGGUCUAGUACAACGAGAAGAUGCUGCAGUCGAUAAUUUGCAGUCCAUCAUUGACUCCAGUUACAUCGGUUCCAUCGAGAGAAGUAUCAAUGGGAAGGUGAAGAGGUGCAAAAGAACUCAUGAGACGCUAGAGGACAUCGCCAAACGGUCCUUGUCUGAGAAGUUCAUCCUGGUCUGUGACGGCACCGCCCAACUUCAGGAGGAAGAAGCCCGGAGGCUGUCUGUGCAUCCUUCUGGAAAUGUACAACUGAAUUUGCCUCAGGAUCUGCCUAGUCUCCGAACCUUAGCGGUAUUCCCUGCUGGUGCGGCGAGUCUCGCUAGUUAUGAAGAUGUUUUAGAUUUUUCCAGGUAUGGUCAAGUGCUGCGGGUGUUGGAUCUGAAAGAAUGUGCUCACCUGAGCGAUGAACAUAUUCAGGCUAUUUGCGAGCAGGGAUAUCGGGAAGCUGAAUCAGCUAGAGACCCUCGACCUGAGUGGAAGCCAGACUGUGACGGUGUUCAAAGAAGUCCUCAUGCUGCCCAAACUGAAGCACCUCAUUGGGAAGUUCCAGCUUUCUAA